AACGCAACGAUAAUCGUUUCUUUGGAACUUGGGGGUCUGUAACUUUCAAUAGUGUGGUUGGGUCGAAAGGCAAUCUUCACUCGACCUCCGCAGCCUAGAAACGCAGUCAAGGCGGCCGAGGUGGCACCGGGAGAACUUUUGCUUGGGCCUGCUCGGAAGCUGCUCUCGUCCUUCCUUUCCGCUGCACUUCCUUGGAGAUUUAUUUAUUAUGUAUACAACAUUCUGCCUCGAUGUAUGCCCGCACGCCAGAGGAGGACGCCAGAUCUCAGUACAAAUGGUUGUGAGCCACCAUGUAGUUGCUGGGAAUUGAACUCAGGACCUCUGGGAGAGCAGCCAGUGCUCUUAACCUCUGAGCCAUCUCUCCAGCCCCCUACACACAUAAUUUAAAUGAAGAUUUUUCCACUUCGACUGACAAUUUCCUCAGGAGCCAUAGACUAACAAAAACCCAUCACCAGAAAGUAAGUUCCUAUUGUUGAACACGUCAAACAUAUCAGACACAGAACCAGAGGAGCCAAGCUGCCUGCAACCUGAAAGUCCCUUCCCUGAAGACCAGCUUGCAUGGUAUCUGAAAGUGUCACACAUUUCCAAAGGAGGAGAGCAAACAACAGUCCUGUCUGCACUCAGCUAUGACACUUAUAAACUGUAACAAUGUCCAGAGUUGCAUGCUAAUGCUAAGGGUAUUUCUUUUUUUUUUUUUUAAAAUAUUUAUUUACUUAUUAUGUAUACAAUAUUCUGUCUGUAUGCCUGAAGGCCAGAAGAGGGUGCCAGACCUCUUUACAGAUGGUUGUGAGCCACCAUGUGGUUGCUGGGAAUUGAACUCAGGACCUUUGGAAGAGCAGGCAAUGCUCUUAACCACUGAGCCAUCUCUCCAGCCCCGCUAAGGGUAUUUCUUGUUGUUAACCAAAGGUAACCAAAGGUCUCUAAUUGGACUGAAGGCCCACUCAACAAGAGGGAAACCUAGGCAACUACUCAGGGCUAGGGAAAUCAUGUGUCUUGAAGGAGAACCUACAACUGCCACUUUUCUAAAACUAGUGCAGUCCCUAACUACAUUCUAAAUGGUUCUCUUUAUACCCUUAGUAAGUGUAGUUCUUGCCCCGCAUCAAGGAAACUUCUCUUUGCAACAUAUGGAGACCAUUACAGAAAAUCACAAGCAAACAAAAUACAGAGUUGUGGAGCUUAGACUCAAUUCAUACAUCCACAAUGAAAUCAUUACAUUUAGUAUUUGUAUCAUGUCUUUAACCAGAAAAAGCGUGACACAUACCUCAAAGAUAGAUGUUAUUAAUAUUUCUGAAUCAUCAUAUAAUACUUGACAAGUUCUUGACACAUUUUUUCAUUGAAGAUUAUAUUACACACAAUUUUCUAGAAUAAGUUAUAUUCCAUAGUACUCUAAAUAUAUAUCCAAACUUAAUAUCCAUUGGGUCAUUAACCUGAUGGUCAUUGGUGGUGGGUUGUGUCACUGUAUUUUCAAGCAUCAAGUUAGCCUUGUCUUGUGGGACUGAGUUCUUUGCCAUCCGUCUUGUCCCUCUUACUUUCAGGCCUCUGCCCGACAUUUUCAGUGAUCACAUUGUUCUCCCAGCUUAACUGCUCUAUGAGGACAGAGGUCUAGGUUUUUGGUCUGUUGCGCACUUCCGCAAUCCUUCUCAUGUCUUUCUCAUCCCAUCUUCUACUCUCCCAAAGGUGGCCAUGGAUUUGCAUCGCAGGUUGCAGCAGAUGGGUGCCGUUAAGAAGAACCCCAGACUUGAUCUAUGGUCAUUGUUAUCUUCUAGUAUGACACUCGACUUUGCUACUGAACUCUUCCUGUGCAAGCUGAGAAGCUUGGCUAUAAUUUGGUCUUUUAUUUUUAUAAUAGGCUGUGUUGAGAAAGGAGCUUUGACAAUAGAAGUAAUCAACUAGCAGGUCCAUUUCUACUGUGGAAAGCGGCUGGAACCUCAUACCUAUGGAUGAAAAGAGAAGGGAGCACCAACUGCGGCGAUGAAGUCUGUACCGCGGAUUCCGAAGGGCGCUGUGAAGGUUCUUCUCAGAGUCGUCAGUGUGUAAAUACUGUGCUCCCAAGGUCUCGCUACAGUCAUACUAGCAUCUUGGACUCCAUGCACAGAACUUGGCAGUUUUGAACAACUAUUUGUGAUUGAAAAAUGACCGACAAAUUUAAGGUCCCAAAGCUCAGUUUCAGUACCCAAAAAGCCGCUGUCUCGCCCGCUUGCCCCUCUCUUCCCGUGCUUCACACCUGAAUGUUGGACCCCCAUUACUGUUCUGUGAGUUUUUAUUAAAAUAAAGAAAAAAAAACUUAGUAUACCCUAUUUGGAGCUAGUGUGGGAUUAUUUGA
Alexandromys fortis (reed vole) is the source of this 2323-nucleotide long non-coding RNA. RefSeq lists it as uncharacterized. Lineage: Eukaryota; Metazoa; Chordata; Mammalia; Rodentia; Cricetidae. The transcript has 6 exons. The record is from RefSeq and is a predicted model, not a curated record.